RNAcentral lists this ribosomal RNA (392 nucleotides) under uncultured bacterium. RNAcentral describes it as "bacterial SSU rRNA". It matches the Rfam family "Bacterial small subunit ribosomal RNA", at positions 28 to 415 of the family's 1533-position model. The record is from RNAcentral.
GACGAACGCUGGCGGCGCGCUUAACACAUGCAAGUCGAGCGAGAACCUUCCUUCGGGAAGGGGAAAGCGGCGAACGGGUGAGUAACACGUGGGUAAUCAACCCUUGGUACCGGGAUAGCCCGAGGAAACUCGGAUUAAUACCGGAUGGCCCAACAGCUUUUCGGGGCGGUUGGGAAAGGUAGCUUCGGCCUCCGACCGAGGACGAGCCCGCGGCGGAUUAGCUUGUUGGUGGGGUAACGGCCUACCAAGGCGACGAUCCGUAGCUGGUCUGAGAGGACGAUCAGCCACACUGGGACUGAGACACGGCCCAGACUCCUACGGGAGGCAGCAGUGGGGAAUCUUGCACAAUGGGCGAAAGCCUGAUGCAGCGACGCCGCGUGAGGGAAGAAGGC